GGCAGCGUGGCUUAAUGGACAGAGCAUUGGCCUGGGAGUCACAGGUACCUGGGUUCUAUCCCUGACUCUGCCA
Molecule: transfer RNA, 73 nt
Filed under: Ornithorhynchus anatinus (platypus)
Lineage: Eukaryota; Metazoa; Chordata; Mammalia; Monotremata; Ornithorhynchidae
Rfam family: tRNA
About the family: Transfer RNA (tRNA) molecules are approximately 80 nucleotides in length. Their secondary structure includes four short double-helical elements and three loops (D, anti-codon, and T loops).
Source: Rfam by way of RNAcentral